UCUCUAGGGUUUAUCGAGGGGUUUACAGGAGAAAACAUCGAAAAAAAUUCCGACUCUUGCAAGCAAAGAAGCUGUUGAUGAACAACAAAACCCACUCGACAAAUUUUAGGGCACUUUAUCUUUUCUCUUUCUCUUUCUCUUCCUCUUCCUCUUUUAUAAUCAAGAUAGUGAAAUGGAAGCAAGAAUCCAACGUUUCAGCUCAUUACAGUUGCUUCUAUAGGAAAAGAUCUAAAGACCAUGCUUCUCUUUCUCCUUAUGCCUUGUGUUUUCCAGAAAUUUGUGUAGAGAGAGAAGUCCAAGCUUUUAUUGAAAUG
Long non-coding RNA from Telopea speciosissima, 314 nucleotides. RefSeq lists it as uncharacterized. NCBI's taxonomy places the organism in Eukaryota, Viridiplantae, Streptophyta, Magnoliopsida, Proteales, Proteaceae. The transcript is spliced from 2 exons. The record is from RefSeq and is a predicted model, not a curated record.